Non-coding RNA from Caenorhabditis elegans, 143 nucleotides. NCBI's taxonomy places the organism in Eukaryota, Metazoa, Nematoda, Chromadorea, Rhabditida, Rhabditidae. The record is from Ensembl.
UCUUUUUUCUUCGCUUCCUUCUUCAAGCCGUCGUUUUUUUUGUUGCGUCUGCGCAUUGUCUAGCUUGAGCCUUCCCAAAGCCCACUCGACAAACCACUUUUGCCGCGUUCCUUUCGAUCCGAUGACAUAAGAAAUAAGCACAC